GGGUUGGGUUUAAAUUAAUAGGUAUGCAUGUUUUUUCUAGCACUAAAUAGAAAGUUGAUAAAAAUUAACCUAUGCACAUGAUUAUAAAAUACAAAUAUAUUAACUGAGAUUUAUGUGUAAAAACGAGUUCUUAAUUAUAAAAUAAGUCUCACACAAUAUAUGCAAAAACAAUCCUAAAAAUAGAAUAAAAUGAUUUAUUACUUUUAUUUCUUUAUUAAAUUAAAACAUCAAACAAAAUCCGUUGCAACGCACGGGCUCAUAUCUAGUGUUUUAUAUUCUGUAGAAUUAAUUCUAGGGCAAAUUUUACAAAUAACCAUUUUUUUUAAUUUUUUUCACAAAUAGUUUCUAAGAGAAAAAAGUAAAAAAUGAUUCGUAGCAGAAAAAAAAAACCAAAAUAAAUUUCACUUAAAAAAGCAAAAAUAACCAAAAUAAUUUUACAAAAAAAGCAAAAAAUUCUUAUACCUCUUGUUUUAUAGACAUGGGUGAAGCUAGG
RNAcentral lists this long non-coding RNA (493 nucleotides) under Brassica rapa (field mustard). RNAcentral's name for it is "long non-coding RNA (BRAP_LNC004522)". Lineage: Eukaryota; Viridiplantae; Streptophyta; Magnoliopsida; Brassicales; Brassicaceae. The record is from RNAcentral.